RNAcentral lists this long non-coding RNA (457 nucleotides) under Manihot esculenta (cassava). RNAcentral describes it as "long non-coding RNA (MESC_LNC007875)". Lineage: Eukaryota; Viridiplantae; Streptophyta; Magnoliopsida; Malpighiales; Euphorbiaceae. The record is from RNAcentral.
UCUAUCAUUAUUUUUAUAUAUAUCAGCUUUUAUUUUUAAAGCGUUGAUGCCACAGUUGAGUAAGGAGAUAACUCCCAAGGAUCGUCCAGGGACUCUUCAAAAGGGCCCUGUGAUAUUUCUCAUCAGAGUUGAAAUUAACCAAGAAAAACUCGUAAUUUGACAUGAAGCAAUCUGAAACCUAUUUUACGGCUCAACAGCUUAAUCACCACUGCUCUCUUCCAGAACUUGGCUAGACUCUCCUCCAGCUGAUCUGAGAAUGGAUUUCUGGAAUCAAGCCAUUUUGCACCACUUAUUCAUCCAUCUCAGAAGUUUGUGAAACCAGUUUAUCACAAAAGGAGAUUCCUUCGAGAACCAACCCUGACGUUCCAUCUCGAUGCUUGCAUUUCUUGGUUUCCCUAUCCUCCUCUCCUCCCCUGAGCAAGUCAGCGACUCGCUUUCCAAAGGGAGAGAAGUCGAG